Molecule: ribosomal RNA, 390 nt
Filed under: Triticum aestivum (bread wheat)
Lineage: Eukaryota; Viridiplantae; Streptophyta; Magnoliopsida; Poales; Poaceae
Description: partial small subunit ribosomal RNA
Source: RNAcentral
AUGAUCAUAUAUCAUCUUCUACUCUGUACAUGUUUGUUCGAAUUCAUGAGGUUGCAAGAAUUAAGAAAAUUACAACACCAAUUCUAUUGUACUAAUCAAUGCGCUUAUGCUACUAUGCAGGUAUAUUCGCAGGUUAGUUGCAUGGAUAAGGCCUUCCCAACCGGGCACGCCCAAGAACGCCUCCUGCAGGAGGGCGCCGCCGCCGUCCCGACCAGCACUCCCCCGCCGUCCUACCACGCCCGGACCGCCACGGCAGGUUGGGCCGCAGGAGCAAGGGAGAUGGUCGAUGGGGAGACGGCCCCGCCUCUGAUGCAGCUGGAGACGCUGCUGGCGCUCGGCCUGGACCAGCGCAUGGCGGAGAACGCGCUGGUCAACAGCAAAGUCACCUAG